This 1398-nucleotide ribosomal RNA is filed under the name Triticum aestivum (bread wheat). RNAcentral describes it as "partial small subunit ribosomal RNA". Lineage: Eukaryota; Viridiplantae; Streptophyta; Magnoliopsida; Poales; Poaceae. The record is from RNAcentral.
AUGGCCGCGCUGGCCCGCGCCUCGCUCCUCCGAUCCGCCGUUCGACGGCUCCGGGCCUUCUCCGCGGCCGCCGCCGAGGGCGCCGCGCCCCGCCGCGACGCGAGGGCGGCCGAUGCCGCCACGGUGGCGGCCGCGCUGGCUGUCGGGUCGGGGCUGGGGAUCUGGCUGCUCCCCCCGUCGCCGCAGCCGCUCGCGGACUCGGGCCAGGGGGACUUCGCCGUGGCGGACGCGGGCUUUGGGGACGUGGGCGCCGCGGAGGAGCGCGAGGAGGAGAAGCGCAGGUUCCUCUUCCGCGACUCAUAUCGCAGAAGGGUGUUCUUCAACUAUGAGAAGCGCAUUCGGACGCGCAGCCCUCCUGAGAAGAUCUUUGAGUACUUUGCGUCCAUCCGAAACCCGGAGGGCGAAGUCUACAUGUUACCUGCCGACUUGAUGAGGGCUGUUGUUCCCGUUUUCCCUCCAUCCGAAUCUAAUAUUGUAAGGGAAGGAAGACUCAGAGGGGAGCGCAACCCUGGCGAGCUACAGUGCGCUCCUUCUGAGUUUUUCAUGCUGUUCGACACAAACGGCGAUGGGCUCAUAUCCUUUGCCGAGUAUAUCUUUUUUGUGACAUUGCUUAGCAUUCCUGAGUCGAGCUUCAAUAUAGCUUUCAAGAUGUUUGACCUUGACCACAAUGGGGAGAUAGAUAAAGAAGAGUUUAAGAAAGUAAUGGCUUUGAUGAGGUCCUAUAAUAGGCAAGGAGCUGCCCACAGGGAUGGGUUACGUAUUGGACUUAAGGUUGGUCAGCCAGUGGAAGAUGGUGGAUUGGUUGAGUACUUUUUUGGCAAGGAUGGCAGUGACCAUCUACACUAUGAAAAGUUCUCUGAUUUUUUGAAGCAAUUACAUGACGAGAUUGUUCGCUUGGAGUUCAGUCACUAUGAUGUAAAAUCAUCCAAGACAAUAUCUGCGAAGGACUUUGCAUUAUCCAUGGUUGCUUCUGCUGACAUGAAUCACAUAAACAAGCUACUUGACAGAGUUGACGAUUUUGAUGAAUCUCCUGAUGUCAAAGAUCUGCGCAUUACCUUUGAGGAGUUCAAGGCUUUUGCUGAUCUGCGGCGAAGAUUGGAACCAUUUGCAAUGGCUAUCUUCAGCUAUGGAAAAGUAAACGGUUUGUUGACAAAGCAGGAUCUGAAACGUGCUGCAACUCAUGUUUGUGGGGUGGACUUGACUGAUAAGGUGGUGGAUGUCAUUUUCCAUGUGUUUGAUGCAAACUGUGAUGGGAACCUAAGCUCAGAGGAGUUCUUGAGGGCACUACAAAGACGGGAAAGCAAUAUUCGGCAGCCCACCACUCCAGGUUUAAUGGGGGUAUUCUCCUGCUGGCUGAACUGUACGAAGUGUUCUUUUCAACAGAUGCUGCUUCAGUAG